This 465-nucleotide ribosomal RNA is filed under the name uncultured Klebsiella sp. RNAcentral's name for it is "bacterial SSU rRNA". It matches the Rfam family "Bacterial small subunit ribosomal RNA", at positions 338 to 795 of the family's 1533-position model. The record is from RNAcentral. Lineage: Bacteria; Pseudomonadati; Pseudomonadota; Gammaproteobacteria; Enterobacterales; Enterobacteriaceae.
CCUACGGGUGGCAGCAGUGGGGAAUAUUGCACAAUGGGCGCAAGCCUGAUGCAGCCAUGCCGCGUGUGUGAAGAAGGCCUUCGGGUUGUAAAGCACUUUCAGCGGGGAGGAAGGCGUUAAGGUUAAUAACCUUGGCGAUUGACGUUACCCGCAGAAGAAGCACCGGCUAACUCCGUGCCAGCAGCCGCGGUAAUACGGAGGGUGCAAGCGUUAAUCGGAAUUACUGGGCGUAAAGCGCACGCAGGCGGUCUGUCAAGUCGGAUGUGAAAUCCCCGGGCUCAACCUGGGAACUGCAUUCGAAACUGGCAGGCUAGAGUCUUGUAGAGGGGAGUAGAAUUCCAGGUGUAGCGGUGAAAUGCGUAGAGAUCUGGAGGAAUACCGGUGGCGAAGGCGGCCCCCUGGACAAAGACUGACGCUCAGGUGCGAAAGCGUGGGGAGCAAACAGGAUUAGAUACCCCAGUAGUC